UUCAAAGAUUAAGCCAUGCAUGUCCAAGUAUAAGCAAUUAUACGGGAAAUGGAAUGGCUCAUUAAAUCAGUUAUGUUUAUUUGAUAGUACCUUACUACUUGGAUAACCGUGGUAAUUCUAKAGCUAAUACAUGCUGAAAACCCCGACUCGCGGAGGGGUGUAUUUAUUAGAUUAAAAACCAAUGCCCUCUGGGGCUCAGUGGUGGUUCAUAAUAACUUCUCGGAUCGCACGGCCUUGCGCUGGCGAUGGUUCAUCCAAAUUUCUGCCCUAUCAACUUUCGAUGGCUGGGUCUUGGCCAGCCAUGGUGACAACGGGUAACGGAGGGUUAGGGCUCGACCCCGGAGAGGGAGCCUGAGAAACGGCUACCACAUCCAAGGAAGGCAGCAGGCGCGCAAAUUACCCAAUCCCGACGCGGGGAGGUAGUGACAAUAAAUACUGAUGCAGGGCUCUUUUGGGUCCUGCAAUUGGAAUGAGUACAAUUUAAAUCCCUUAACGAGGAACAAUUGAGGAAUCUGGUGC
Molecule: ribosomal RNA, 519 nt
Filed under: uncultured Phyllachora
Lineage: Eukaryota; Fungi; Ascomycota; Sordariomycetes; Phyllachorales; Phyllachoraceae
Description: SSU rRNA
Rfam family: Eukaryotic small subunit ribosomal RNA
Source: RNAcentral